RNAcentral lists this ribosomal RNA (253 nucleotides) under uncultured bacterium. RNAcentral describes it as "partial 16S ribosomal RNA". It matches the Rfam family "Bacterial small subunit ribosomal RNA", at positions 524 to 776 of the family's 1533-position model. The record is from RNAcentral.
UACGUAGGGCGCAAGCGUUGUCCGGAAUCAUUGGGCGUAAAGAGCGUGUAGGCGGCUUGGUAAGUCCGCUGUGAAAGUCCAGGGCUCAACCCUGGAAAGCCGGUGGAAACUGUCAAGCUUGAGUCCGGAAGAGGCGAGUGGAAUUCCUGGUGUAGCGGUGAAAUGCGCAGAUAUCAGGAGGAACACCAAUGGCGAAGGCAGCUCGCUGGGACGGUACUGACGCUGAGACGCGAAAGCGUGGGGAGCAAACAGG